This 365-nucleotide ribosomal RNA is filed under the name uncultured bacterium. RNAcentral's name for it is "bacterial SSU rRNA". It matches the Rfam family "Bacterial small subunit ribosomal RNA", at positions 1017 to 1383 of the family's 1533-position model. The record is from RNAcentral.
CCUUCGGGAACUCUGAGACAGGUGCUGCAUGGCUGUCGUCAGUCGUGUUGUGAAAUGUUGGGUUAAGUCCCGCAACGAGCGCAACCCUUAUCCUUUGUUGCCAGCGGUUCGGCCGGGAACUCAAAGGAGACUGCCAGUGAUAAACUGGAGGAAGGGGGGGAUGACGUCAAGUCAUCAUGGCCCUUACGAGUAGGGCUACACACGUGCUACAAUGGCAUAUACAAAGAGAAGCGACCUCGCGAGAGCAAGCGGACCUCACAAAGUAUGUCGUAUUCCGGAUCGGAGUCUGCAACUCGACUCCGUGAAGUCGGAAUCGCUAGUAAUCGUAUAUCAGAAUGCUACGGUGAAUACGUUCCCGGGCCUUG